Molecule: long non-coding RNA, 5502 nt
Filed under: Paramuricea clavata
Lineage: Eukaryota; Metazoa; Cnidaria; Anthozoa; Malacalcyonacea; Plexauridae
Source: RNAcentral
CCCUUUUCUAUUGUUUUUGUCUGCGCGAUUAACACGCAGCUAACCUCGAUUUAAACAACAAUACUAUGUCUAUUAUAUAUACUAUGUCUAUUCUCAUAGGCCAAUCCACUGGUUACUGGUUUCUACUUGUAUGUCCCAAAUGAUGGCUGUGAAGCAGAGUAAUGUCAUAUUUACAUAUACUUUUUGCAUUGAAAACUAUUCUAUUCUUCCAAACAGGGCAACCUGAAUGCUUCGGUAAACCUUCCAAAAACACCCGACCUGGACACGGUGAAGCAAAAACUUAUCAAGGUAUGUUUAUUUUAUAUUUCCAUGAUAAUAUACAUGAAAAAAAUUCUCGAAUCUUAAGUGCGCACUUCACAGAACACUUUCCCGUUAAAACACAAUAUUUUGAUCCUGAAAUAACUAAAAUACUACAGGAUUUCAGGUGUGGCCACCGAAUAGCGCACCAAAUUGCAAGAUAGUGCACAUUGUCUUGUCAUAUCAUUGUAUGUGGCAAUAAAAUAUUGUCACAGGGACAGCGUAAAAGCAUAACACAACAUCUUGUAUCCUUGGUGGAGCGAUCAGCGUAUUAGGAACCGUGGCAAAGUUUCAUAAACUUGCGAAAAUGCUCGCUAAUGAUCAUGAUCGUAAAAUAUACAGUUUAGUACACAUGACAACAAGAAGUGUAUUCGUACGGACUACAGGAAACCCGGCCUAGUUUGAACAUAUACUGUAAAUUGUAAUAUUCCUGAAAUAUGACGAUAUAAUAAGUUUUCGUGGCAAAACUCGUGUAUUAUUGUGUUUACUUAUUUAGUGGUGAUAUUAAGUAACUCGCGUGACACCACGCCUUGUCUUUGCAUGCUCUUAACCCUUAAAGUGGCAAUGCACCCCGAUGCGACCAACUUCAGUAUUUUACUCUAACGCCAGACGAUUUUACUCGUCAAGUGGAGAGUGCUGCCACUCAAUGGGUUAAUCUGUACGUUUUCCCUAUUUUUAGUCUCCGAAUCUCCCCAAGAAAAUUGAGAAAUUUAAGAAUUUUAUGAAGACAAAUAUGAAAAUUACGGAUGAAAAGGUGCGUAUGUGUGGCGUCGUUGUAAAGACCCAGGGGCCAGUUAGUGAAUAUGAAAAAAACCUAGUUUUCUUAGCUUUGAUUUGCUAUAGUUAUAGACAACGUUUAUUUUUAAAAUUACUUCGCCAAUGAACUCUUUAGCUGGGUCGUUCUUUUAACCAUUUAAAACGCUCGCAGUCCGUGCUUUAUCAGAUAUAACUGAACACUUGAGUUACCCUCUCGUGUUUUACUGUACAUAUAUCUGAUACAGUGGCGCCGCCAGCUCGAUAAUUGGGGGGGGGGGGNNNNNNNNNNNNNNNNNNNNNNNNCCCCCCCCCCCCCCCCCAAUUAUCGAGCUGGCGGCGCCACUGAUCUGAAAAAGCAAUCCUGUUCAUGUUUUGAAUACUUAACAUGCACAACUCAACGAAAACGAACGAAUAUUCAGUUAUGUUAAUAAGGCCAUAGGCCCAUAGCUUAUUUUAUAAGUCAAGAUUACAAAUAAACAUGCAUAUAUCAAAACGUAGGUUAUUGUUUAGCAAAUGGCUAUAAAUUGAAUCAAAACUACCGAAGUUUUACAUAGUCUUUGGGAUGUGUUAUUUUGGUUUUAGGCAUACGCAUACAUAUAUGUUUUUUACCGGCUGGGAGGUCCGUACUGAAACAUAUUUUCCCAUGGUCUGGAAGCGGCCCGGGACCAAAGGUCGAGGGACGCUUCUGAGAGCGAGGGAAAUAUUUGUCAGUACGGAGCGACCUUAAAGUGCUUAUGUCACAAAAAUGUUUUGAGUGUUGAGUAGAGGUAAAAAGUUAGUUAAUAGUGAGUAAAAAGUUAGUUAAUAGGUUCUUUAACAUUUUUCGGUUUUCUCUUUUUAUUUGCGAGAUAUGCGGCUCUAAACAGCGAUUUUCGUGAAAAUGUCACGUAUCAACAAGAGUCUGGGACGAGCGUGGUGUGACGUAGCUUUAAUAAGGGACUUAAUUACGACGUUCCAUUAUACAUUUGUUUAUAUUUGGUAUAUUUUCCAGUAUGUCAGGCAGUAGCUCGGAUUCGGAAAGCACUCAUGGUUCUCAAAGUGACUCAGAAUACAAUUAUAUUCCUAGGCUAGGUAUAUUAUAUAGGAUGAAUCAAAUGAUAUCAGUCACGAAAUUGGAACUCCAGAAGUUGAUAGCGAAAUUGUAGGCGAUUAUGAUGCAUGCUUUGGGUUAAUUUGAUAUUUUCUGGUUUGAUUUUAAAAAUGUUGCUGUAUUUUGGCUAGUAUAAGCGGUAUCUGGCUUUAUUAUUAUUAUUCAUCUUAUUUAAAAACGGUAGCCCUUCAUACUUCAGACAAAGAAUGAAGAAUAAAAAUUUUAUGGUUCAAUGGUUGAAAAAUCAACCAAGAUGGCCUCCAUUGCAAACGGGCAAUUAAUUUACUUAUUUUGAAGCUAUACGCGAUAACAAUUGCCAAUCCUACAGGCUAAUCACAUGUACGCAAUGCGUACCUGUUUUUAUCAGUUGUACUUAAAUCUUUUAUUCUCCGUGUAUAUACCUGUACUAUACCUGUACUAUACCUGUACUGAGUGGGAGUAUUGAGUUGUUAGAGGAAGAAAGGUAACUCGGCUGAAAUAACGAAGUAAACCAUGUAUUAUUUGUUAACCGCUAAUCAGUUACUUCAGCGUUUCUAUAAAUUCUUCUUCUUUGCAAGUUGCAAUAACUGGUGCCCAAGUGAACAUCCCAAGUCCACGUAUUGAGGGAGUUCUGUUUCCUAACUUUGUGAGUUGUGACUUUAAUGGUCUGGACUGUUUCAACGAAUUACAACAAUGUUGUUGUGUCGCUGUGUCAUACCAAUGAGACUGAUUAGCUUGUUUGUUACGUGGAACGGUAUCUGGUUAUAAUAUUCGUAUAAUAUCAGACGAAAAUUCAUGAUGUGCUGUCUCUACCAAUGAGCAGGCCAUUUUCUAUAUUUCUAUGAGCAGGCCAUUUUCGUUGAGUUGUGCAUGUUAAUGUACUUAAAAUAAGGUUUAGACGCCAUACUUUUUAUGAGCCAAACUUUUUUAACUGAACUAAUUAAGUACAUCAGAAGCACGCCUGAAUCAAAUAAUCACGGUACUUUAUAUUAAGCACGGCAAGCACGGCUGGAUUGAAAAUGUGUGGGUUGACUCGCACAGCCGUGCUUGUCAUAAGCCGUACCAAAUGCAUAAAUUAUGAUGAUAAUAAUAAAAUGUAUAUAUUUCUAUUGCUCUCGUCCCCAAGCGCGGGAAAAUUAACACCACGCGGGAAUCAAUGGACAACAUGGCUGUCUGUAUCACUUAUGUAUGGGGAAAUAAAGUACGGGCCGUCGGGGCCGACCUUAACGUUGAAAAAUAUUUUCGCUCGGUCUCAGGGCGUGACCGCGACCUUCGGUUUCGGGCUGUUUCUGUGACAUAGUGUCUUUACCAGAGGUUGAAAAAACAGUCUGAAGCCAGUAGAAACGUUCAUGUUUUAUGAUGUCACGAUGAAGGAAUGCAGCGUGGAAAGUGAGGUUAUUGAGUUGUGAACACGCCACAAGUUUAUAUCAGGACAGCCUAAUAAGAGUUAGGCCGUUUGCUGCGUCCCGAUAUCGUUCACUUUCAUUUCCCAUGCAUUGGAACUGAAAUAUUUUUAUGGGAACUAACACUUUCGAAUACGCUGAGUUCAAAUCCGAAAAGUUCCCGCUCCGUAGACCUGCAGUUUUCUCACAAACUGCAAUUUUUAUCUUCACUAAUUUCACGACAACUUUUUUCAUUGUUCAACGACACGUUCGAUGACGACAAACGAUUAUGUCACUCAAAAAUACCAAUUCCUAUUAACCAGCCUUCCUUUUAACAAAAGACCGGUUUUGCUCGAAUCAUUUUGAGUUAUGUAAUAUUAUGCGUGUUGAACGUAAACAAUAAAGCUUUCUAGAAUCCUCAGUUCUGGCUCUAUCUCAAUAAAAUCACAAGGACGUUAAUGUUAAGUCUUUUGGGUAUGUCUCUGGGCUGAGAAAUAACUCUUUUAACGCGAUCAAGGAAUUUAAAACAAAAGUAACGCGAAGCCAACGGAACGGCAAAGACAACACUAAAAUGAAAUAUUGUCGAUGGAUUGCCGGUAGAAGACGUACGACAGGAUCACUCUAAAAUAAUCUUAAACUAGAAGAAUUAAUGUUCACAUCAAAGACAAAUAUCAGUGCCAAAGUAUAAAUCUGCUCUGUAAACUUACGACGAAGUGGAGAAAUGUGUGCAUGAGCUGUUUAUUUGAUGAUUACAACGUAUAUGAAAGCCCUCUUUCCAAUAAUACUCGCUAUUAAUCGCACAGAAUAACACCAACUGAUAUAAUAGUUCAAAUGCAAUGAUAAGUUACAGUUUCCUCUUGAAUUACUGUGUUGGAAAUUUAUAAAUGCUGAUCCAUUACAUAACUUCACCGUUUUACAUCGUUGUAAAAAACAUUUUGAUCGCAUGUAAAGAAUAAUUUCUCAGCUCAGAGACAUAGCCAAAAGACUUAGCAUUAACGUCCUUGUAAUUUUAUAGAGAUAGAGCCAAAACUGAGGAUUUCAGAAAGCCCUAUCUGUACCUUCGCAAAGUUGUAGACAGGAUAUGUUGUUUACGCCCAACACGCAUAAUAUAACAUACAGUGUGAGUUACUCACCCUGUAAAUCAAAAUGAUUCGAGCAAAACCGGUCUUUUGUUAAAAGGAAGACUGGUUAAUAGAAAUUGGUCCUUUUGAGUGACAUAAUCGUUUGUCGUCAUCGGUCCGUGUCGUUGAACAAUGAAAAAAGUUGUCGUGAAAUUAGUGAAGAUAAAAUUGCAGUUUGUGAGAAAACUGCAGGUCUAUAAAGCGGGAACUUUUCGGAUUUGAACUCGGCGUGUUCAGUUACAAGACAGGUGAAAUGAAAAAUCGUUUUCUAGGCACUUUUCGAGGUCACAGCAAACGGCCUCAGUGGUUGGAAACGACACAAGCGAAAAUGAAAAGAGCCAUUGACAAUUUGUCAAACUAAAUAAAGUUACUAACAAGGGAAAUAACAUUAAAGUUCCACGCUGCAUUCUUUCACCGUGCCGUCGUAAAACAUGAACGUUUCUACUGGCUUCUGACAGCAGUCUUUUCAACUUACGCACUUCCCAGCCGGUAAACAGUAACGUAUAUUUAUUUUAAUUUACGUACUUCACGUAUGUCCUUUACUGAUUUACAGAUUGUCAAAGACUUGUGGACAUUUGUACAAACCAACAAAAAGUAAUCUAUUCACAGCAUCCGUGAACGAUGAGUUGCACGACUGAAGGACUUGUUCAAUACUUCACAUUCAAGUUCAAGCAUAACCGACCACCAAAUUGUUGGUGUCAAAAACUUGAAUGAGCUUAUUGAAAGCUCGUAUCUUACAUCAUGUUAUACAUGGCUGGUUGGUGUUCUAUUUUAAUUAUAUAUUUCUAUCAUGUAAAUUGCAUAUUGAUAUCCUAAGUGUUUAAUUUUACUGGUGUGGCGGAAUGAGAUUCAAUAAAGUUGCUUUUAAUUCUUUGUA